UAAUACUCCAUAGUUCGUUAUUACUGGAAUGUUUUUCGAACGAAAGAUCCGUCGCUUCAGGAUGAGUCUGCGGCCGAUUAGGUAGUUGUUGGGGUAAUUGCCCAACAAGCCUGUAAUCGGUACGGGUUGUGGGAGCAAGAGCCCGGAGAUGGAUUCUGAGACACGAAUCCAGGCCCUACGGGGCGCAGCAGGCGCGAAAACUUUACCAUGCGGGCAACCGUGAUAAGGAAACCCCGAGUGCCAGCACAGGCUGGCUGUCCGCCAGUUUAAACAACUGGCGAAGAAAGGGCCGGGCAAGACCGGUGCCAGCCGCCGCGGUAAUACCGGCGGCUCGAGUGGUGGCCGCUAUUACUGGGCUUAAAGGGUCCGUAGCUUGAUAAUAGGGUCCCUUGAGAAAUCCGCCGGCUUAACUGGCGGGCGUUCAGGGGAAACUUGUUUUCUAGGGACCGGGAGAGGUGAGGGGUACUGCCGGGGUAGGAGUGAAAUCCUGUAAUCCCGGUGGGACCACCUAUGGCGAGGGCAUCUCACCAGAACGGGUCCGACAGUGAGGGACGAAAGCUGGGGGAGCAAACCGGAUUAGAUACCCGGGUAGUCCCAGCUGUAAACUAUGUGCGUUAGGUGUGU
This 624-nucleotide ribosomal RNA is filed under the name uncultured archaeon. RNAcentral's name for it is "bacterial SSU rRNA". It matches the Rfam family "Archaeal small subunit ribosomal RNA", at positions 147 to 776 of the family's 1478-position model. The record is from RNAcentral.